This 213-nucleotide ribosomal RNA is filed under the name uncultured bacterium. Its description in RNAcentral is "partial 16S ribosomal RNA". It matches the Rfam family "Bacterial small subunit ribosomal RNA", at positions 1288 to 1500 of the family's 1533-position model. The record is from RNAcentral.
CCAGUUCGGAUUGUAGUCUGCAACCCGACUACAUGAAGCUGGAAUCGCUAGUAAUCGCGGAUCAGAAUGCCGCGGUGAAUACGUUCCCGGGUCUUGUACACACCGCCCGUCACACCAUGGGAGUCGGAAAUGCCCGAAGUCGGUGACCCAACUGAAAGGAAGGAGCCGCCGAAGGCAGGUCUGGUGACUGGGGUGAAGUCGUAACAAGGUACC